GCUUUUUGCUUUUUCUUCUUCGCUGCUUGGGGCGGCAAAAAAGGCUGGAGCCGGCCCUGGUUGGAACCUCUGUUUGGUGUCAACUAAUGAAAAAUAUGUUAAAACACAGAGGGGUUUGGGGGGGUCAGCACUUACAUGCUGCCUUUUAACAGUUUUAACACAGAGAUAAUUCUUUGAAAAUUCUGCCCCGCGAGCCUCUGCAAGUUUAAAGGAUUUCUCUUUGCAGGGUAGUUAACAACACUACCUAUUAGCAAAUGGAAAAUUAAAGACAGCACCAACAAAGGAGCAGGAAGAUAUUCUCCAAGUGUUAUCUCUCAGCCAAUCCAAAUACUUCCUCUUGCUCCAUUUACUCAGAGGAAUUAAGAGCAGGUGAAGAUAUCACCUGUGCAGGGCAGGGACAUGCCAGCAGAUGGAACUGAGGUCCAGAGGCAUCAGGGCCAUUCAUUCUGGGUGGAGGGACUGCAGUUCCAGAGCAGACUUUGACCAGAAAUCAGGCUGAGCUCAAGCCUUGCCACCUCUAGGGCAGGUUGGAAGAUUCACUGUUUACGUAGGCAUUGCCCAGAGAAUGCUGCUGAGAGGCACCCUGACAAUGCUCUCUUGGAAGUCCACCACCAGGAUUUGACCACUAUGAGGCCGUUGACUUAAACAGAUGGAAGGGAGGAGACUUCUUCCUUGCAGAGGGUUAUUCUUCCUCAUUUUAACAGACCAGGCUCUGGAAAGAAUUCUUCAUGGCAGCAUGGCUGCUCUGAGCAAUCCGGAGCCAAAGUCAGCAGCUGCACAUAGAGGGCUCCAUGCAAACCUUUGCUGUGCUUGGGCUGAGUUUGUGAAGAAGUCAGACACCAAAUGAGUUUGUGCGGCACAGGGUUCUGCUCCAGACAAUUCGCACACCUCUAAAUAAAACUCUUC
Long non-coding RNA from Mauremys reevesii (Reeves's turtle), 906 nucleotides. RefSeq lists it as uncharacterized. The record is from RefSeq and is a predicted model, not a curated record. NCBI's taxonomy places the organism in Eukaryota, Metazoa, Chordata, Testudines, Geoemydidae. The transcript is spliced from 4 exons.